CCUACGGGUGGCUGCAGUGGGGAAUUUUGGACAAUGGGGGAAACCCUGAUCCAGCCAUGCCGCGUGCGGGAAGAAGGCCUUCGGGUUGUAAACCGCUUUCGGACGGAAAGAAAUCGCACGGACUAAUACUCUGUGUGGAUGACGGUACCGUAAGAAGAAGCACCGGCUAACUACGUGCCAGCAGCCGCGGUAAUACGUAGGGUGCGAGCGUUAAUCGGAAUUACGCGGCGGGUAGCGUGCGCCGGAGGUGAAAUCCCCGGGCUUAACCUGGGAACUGCGUUUGGAACUGGGAGACUAGAGUGUGUCAGAGGGAGGUGGAAUUCCGCGUGUAGCAGUGAAAUGCGUAGAUAUGCGGAGGAACACCGAUGGCGAAGGCAGCCUCCUGGGAUAACACUGACGCUCAUGCACGAAAGCGUGGGGAGCAAACAGGAUUAGAUACCCUAGUAGUC
RNAcentral lists this ribosomal RNA (449 nucleotides) under uncultured bacterium. RNAcentral's name for it is "partial 16S ribosomal RNA". It matches the Rfam family "Bacterial small subunit ribosomal RNA", at positions 338 to 795 of the family's 1533-position model. The record is from RNAcentral.